UACGUAGGGGGCUAGCGUUGUCCGGAAUCAUUGGGCGUAAAGAGCGCGUAGGCGGCCAGAUAAGUCCGGUGUGAAAGUCACAGGCUCAACCUGUGAAUGCCGCUGGAAACUGUCUGGCUAGAGUCCGGGAGGGGCGAGUGGAAUUCCUGGUGUAGCGGUGAAAUGCGCAGAUAUCAGGAGGAACACCAAUGGCGAAGGCAGCUCGCUGGACCUUGUCUGACGCUGAGGCACGAAAGCCAGGGGAGCAAACGGG
Molecule: ribosomal RNA, 253 nt
Filed under: uncultured bacterium
Lineage: Bacteria
Description: partial 16S ribosomal RNA
Rfam family: Bacterial small subunit ribosomal RNA
Source: RNAcentral